This 253-nucleotide ribosomal RNA is filed under the name uncultured bacterium. Its description in RNAcentral is "partial 16S ribosomal RNA". It matches the Rfam family "Bacterial small subunit ribosomal RNA", at positions 524 to 776 of the family's 1533-position model. The record is from RNAcentral.
UACAGAGGGGGCAAGCGUUGUUCGGAAUUACUGGGCGUAAAGGGCACGUAGGCGGCCUGCUAAGUCGAACGUGAAAUCCCCGGGCUCAACCCGGGAACUGCGUCCGAUACUGGCAGGCUUGAAUCCGGGAGAGGGAUGCGGAAUUCCAGGUGUAGCGGUGAAAUGCGUAGAUAUCUGGAGGAACACCGGUGGCGAAGGCGGCAUCCUGGACCGGCAUUGACGCUGAGGCGCGAAAGCCAGGGGAGCAAACGGG